Molecule: transfer RNA, 74 nt
Filed under: Priestia megaterium
Lineage: Bacteria; Bacillati; Bacillota; Bacilli; Caryophanales; Bacillaceae
Also listed under: 2 other names
Description: Bacillus megaterium tRNA-Cys
Rfam family: tRNA
About the family: Transfer RNA (tRNA) molecules are approximately 80 nucleotides in length.
Source: RNAcentral
GGCGGUAUAGCCAAGUGGUAAGGCCAAGGUCUGCAAAACCUUUAUCACCGGUUCAAAUCCGGUUGCCGCCUCCA